RNAcentral lists this ribosomal RNA (275 nucleotides) under uncultured bacterium. Its description in RNAcentral is "partial 16S ribosomal RNA". It matches the Rfam family "Bacterial small subunit ribosomal RNA", at positions 399 to 691 of the family's 1533-position model. The record is from RNAcentral.
GCGUGAGCGAUGAAGGCCUUAGGGUUGUAAAGCUCUUUUACCCGAGAUGAUAAUGACAGUAUCGGGAGAAUAAGCCCCGGCUAACUCCGUGCCAGCAGCCGCGGUAAUACGGAGGGGGCUAGCGUUGUUCGGAAUUACUGGGCGUAAAGCGCACGUAGGCGGCUAUUUAAGUCAGGGGUGAAAGCCCGGGGCUCAACCCCGGAAUUGCCCUUGAGACUGGAUAGCUAGAAUCUGGGAGAGGUGAGUGGAAUUCCGAGUGUAGAGGUGAAAUUCGU